Molecule: ribosomal RNA, 324 nt
Filed under: uncultured eukaryote
Lineage: Eukaryota
Description: partial 18S ribosomal RNA
Rfam family: Eukaryotic small subunit ribosomal RNA
Source: RNAcentral
CCCUUAGAUGUUCUGGGCUGCACGCGCGCUACACUGAUGCGAUCAACAAGUUUUUCCUAUGUCGAUAGACACGGGUAAUCUUUUGAACUCGCAUCGUGAUGGGGAUAGAUUAUUGUAAUUAUUAAUCUUCAACGAGGAAUCCCUAGUAGGUGCAAAUCAUCAGUUUGCAUCGAUUACGUCCCUGCCCUUUGUACACACCGCCCGUCGCUGCUACCGAUUGGUUGAUCUGGUGAAUUAUUCGGACUGCCGGCUGAAGGGGUUUCCUCAUCUGCCAGCGGAAAGUCUUGUUAACCCUAUCAACUAGAGGAAGCAGAAGUCGUAACA